UAGGGAAUCUUCCGCAAUGGCCGAAAGUCUGACGGAGCAACGCCGCGUGAGUGAAGAAGGUUUUCGGAUCGUAAAACUCUGUUGUCAGAGAAGAACAAGUCGGAGAGUAACUGCUCCGGCCUUGACGGUAUCUGACCAGAAAGCCACGGCUAACUACGUGCCAGCAGCCGCGGUAAUACGUAGGUGGCAAGCGUUGUCCGGAUUUAUUGGGCGUGAAGCGAGCGCAGGCGGUUCCUUAAGUCUGAUGUGAAAGCCCACGGCUCAACCGUGGAAGGUCAUUGGAAACUGGGGAACUUGAGUGCAGAAGAGGAGAGUGGAAUUCCAUGUGUAGCGGUGAAAUGCGUAGAUAUAUGGAGGAACACCAGUGGCGAAGGCGACUCUCUGGUCUGUAACUGACGCCGAGGCUCGAAAGCGUGGGGAGCAAACAG
Molecule: ribosomal RNA, 428 nt
Filed under: uncultured bacterium
Lineage: Bacteria
Description: bacterial SSU rRNA
Rfam family: Bacterial small subunit ribosomal RNA
Source: RNAcentral